UACGUAGGGGGCAAGCGUUGUCCGGAAUCAUUGGGCGUAAAGCGCGUGUAGGCGGUCCGGUAAGUCUGCUGUGAAAGUCCAGGGCUCAACCCUGGGAUGCCGGUGGAUACUGCUGGGCUAGAGUACGGAAGAGGCGAGUGGAAUUCCCGGUGUAGCGGUGAAAUGCGCAGAUAUCGGGAGGAACACCAGUAGCGAAGGCGGCUCGCUGGGCCACACCUGACGCUGAGACGCGAAAGCUAGGGGAGCGAACAGG
This 253-nucleotide ribosomal RNA is filed under the name uncultured bacterium. RNAcentral describes it as "partial 16S ribosomal RNA". It matches the Rfam family "Bacterial small subunit ribosomal RNA", at positions 524 to 776 of the family's 1533-position model. The record is from RNAcentral.